RNAcentral lists this transfer RNA (82 nucleotides) under Cordylochernes scorpioides. RNAcentral's name for it is "tRNA-Thr". Lineage: Eukaryota; Metazoa; Arthropoda; Arachnida; Pseudoscorpiones; Chernetidae. The record is from RNAcentral.
AUAAAAGUAGCCUAGUGGACAUGGAAUCUGCCCAGUAAGUGGAACACUGUGGGUUUGAUUCCCAUCCCUGGACACUUUUAUU